AAGCAACACUCUGUGGCAGAUAAUCAAAAUUGUCUGACACAAUUUGAGCUUGCUAUAGCAAGAAAGUCUAACCUAUUCCGGUGUUCUCCUCUCUGUGAGACUAGCCGUUAUAUAGACUUAAACACU
Cervus hanglu yarkandensis (Yarkand deer) is the source of this 126-nucleotide small nucleolar RNA. Ensembl annotates it as small nucleolar RNA, H/ACA box 28. Its record names the gene SNORA28. The record is from Ensembl. NCBI's taxonomy places the organism in Eukaryota, Metazoa, Chordata, Mammalia, Artiodactyla, Cervidae.